RNAcentral lists this ribosomal RNA (301 nucleotides) under uncultured bacterium. Its description in RNAcentral is "partial 16S ribosomal RNA". It matches the Rfam family "Bacterial small subunit ribosomal RNA", at positions 509 to 807 of the family's 1533-position model. The record is from RNAcentral.
CAGUCGCCGCGGUAAUACGUAGGUGGCAAGCGUUGUCCGGAAUUAUUGGGCGUAAAGGGCUCGCAGGCGGUUUCUUAAGUCUGAUGUGAAAGCCCCCGGCUCAACCGGGGAGGGUCAUUGGAAACUGGGAAACUUGAGUGCAGAAGAGGAGAGUGGAAUUCCACGUGUUGCGGUGAAAUGCGUAGAGAUGUGGAGGAACACCAGUGGCGAAGGCGACUCUCUGGUCUGUAACUGACGCUGAGGAGCGAAAGCGUGGGGAGCGAACGGGAUUAGAUACCCCGGUAGUCCCUGUCUCUUAUAC